RNAcentral lists this long non-coding RNA (268 nucleotides) under Populus tremula. RNAcentral's name for it is "long non-coding RNA (PTRE_LNC002893)". The record is from RNAcentral. Lineage: Eukaryota; Viridiplantae; Streptophyta; Magnoliopsida; Malpighiales; Salicaceae.
CCUGGAUAACUACAGACAUCAUUUCCCACCCAUUUUUUUUUAAUGUUCAUGGGAUCAUAAGUAAUCAAUUCCUUGAAUGUCUGAAUUAUGUGAAAGUCUCUUUCGAUGUUUUUGCUCACAAAACCAUUACUUGGCGGCGGAGGCCGAGGAGAAGGAGGAGGCGGAGGGGAUGGCCUUGGAGGAGGGGGCGGCGAGGGCGGGGGUGGCGGAGAGGGGGGAGGGGGCGGCGGAGGGGGAAAACGUUUGGGAGGUGGCGGCGAGGGCGGGG